UGCUGUAUUACGUUAUCCAAAGCUGACCCUCCCAAUCCAAAACUCAUUCCAGUGCUGCUGUUCUUAUUGACAGCUGCCUCGUUGAAUACACAGCCAAUAGGAACGCUCUCUCUCUGAAAUGACCGGUGAUUGGCCAAAGUCUCACGGGCUAGAUUUCCUAAAGCUUGAAAACAGAGCCAUGAGGAGGAGCAGAAGUCUAGUUUUCUCUCAGAAUACUUGAAUUACAAUAUGCUGGAAGGUCAUUAUGGAAUUUUUGCCCAUUAAUGCAAAAAUAUUCUGCCUACUGCUGCUUAAACCUUCCAUUAUGAUAUGUUGGCAGAUUGAGGGUGACGGGAGCAAUCAGCAGCAAAGAACAUGAAAACAACAUAAGUUAUCAGGCUAAGCUCAGAGUGGUUACAGUGGGGAGAGAAUCGUGCUUAAACAGACAGGACCAGACUAUUUGGAGGGGCCUAUAUAAACAGGCCAUGCUGUGUUGCACUUGAGCUGCAGGAAACGUGAU
Long non-coding RNA from Sebastes umbrosus (honeycomb rockfish), 499 nucleotides. RefSeq lists it as uncharacterized. The record is from RefSeq and is a predicted model, not a curated record. The transcript is spliced from 2 exons. NCBI's taxonomy places the organism in Eukaryota, Metazoa, Chordata, Actinopteri, Perciformes, Sebastidae.